AUCUAGUACUUCACUUUAUUAAAUUUAGGAAUUCUCGUACACCAAGUUUUGCAUUGAUCUUAUGAUUCCAAUCCACAUUUCAGAUGUCUAUGUCCAGUACGUUUCCGGAUUUCGAGGAAGUCGCAAGCUAAAGGUAGGAGAGUUCAGCUAUACCAAAAGCAAGGAAAGUGCAAACAAAACGUACUGGUCUUGUGCGAGAGCAGGCAUGAGCAAAUGUAAAGCACGGGUUCUAACCUACACACUGAGAAACGGGGAAGAGAACUUGGUGGUUCGAUAUCCAACACACAAUCAUGAACCAUUCUAGUACUGCAAUCUUAUAUGAUACUCUGUAAAUAAAACAUUAAUGAGUUGGUGGAAACUGUGGUGGACUUUUCCUCUAUGCCCUAUAUUUGCAUUACGUUGAAGCAUAACUAAUCAGUUAAUUUGGAUUCCAUUUUAGUGUUUAAAAUUGUUAACAUUGAAGAAGUGGAAGAUGAUCAACCCAAGGAAAUAUACUUCACCGUCGGGCAACGUGGUUGCGUUUUGCUGCACGUUGAUGGCUAUAAAUUCGUGAAGAAUCGUAAGGGGGCAUACAAAACCUAUUGGAUCUGCGCUAAAAAGGGAAGUACAGCCUGCAAAGCUAGAGUCAUCACCCCGGCAAACAGUGAGGAGAAAAAGGUUCCCACGUUGAUAGCUCGCAGCGGAACACAUAAUCACCCUGUAUUCGUAGAGCGAAAAUCCCGCAGUUCUGCUACACAUAGGAUUUUACUUUUCGAAGACCCAUAGUUAAAUAAAUUUAUCUCAACUGAAACUUUGUGUAUCGUGCAUUCGUUUUGAAUCCUGAAGAGUGUCGUUUUUGCAUUAGUUUUGGAUUAACGGAUUUCUAUUUUCCUUUAUAGAUGGCAACGAUGUUGACCAGAUUUACUUCAUUGCUGAGAUCAUCGGUUCUGCAGAGGGAAUGAAAACUGUGAAAAUACCCGCAAAGAAGAAAAGUAGAUCCAAAUCCGCAACGAUGCCUCCGGGAAACAAUGAAAUGUUCAAUUUUGAAAGCGAUGGUUCACCUUCAAAGCCCACCUACACAACUGGCCGGGGAAAUAACGUUCUCAACUACCAGGGCCACCGCUACAUCAAGAACAAUGCGCACAGCGGGAAAAUUUACUGGAAGUGUACCAAAUGGCACAGUGGGUGCAAAGGACGUGCCAUUACCAACGUGCUGGUUCCAGGCUUGGUUGUUCUGAAGAAUACGCACAACCACGAACAAUUGUAAUUUCAUCAACGGCGGUUUUUUUAUUUUAAGCCAAAUAAAAAUGAACAGAAUUGAUCGACCUUCCUCAUAUUUUCCAACAGUGAUUUUUAAGUAAUAUUUGUUUAGUUAUCUUGAGUUCAUAAGUUUCCGCAAUACCAAUGGUUGAGAAGUCAGUUUCUCUGUGAACUUUAAAGUUUUUUGAGAACCUCUUGUUGAAAUUUCUGAAAAAUCACCGCAAAUUUCAAACACAGUUUCAAUGAUCUUUUAAUUUAUUGUUUAAAACUAGUACUACGUGAAACGGUGAUGAAUCGUCAUGUAGCAAAAAAUCACCCCAGUAAAAUAGUGAUAAUUUGCGCUGCAAUCGUUUUAUGAGUUUCCAAGUUUUCUGUCACGGUUUUUCGAUUUCGCGUUUUUUUUUUUUUUGCCGAAUUGUGAAAUGGCUGAAGAAUUUAUUUUGUGUCUAAGGAUUUUAGUGCCAAUAUUACCAAGCAGAUAAAAGCUUACAGAAGGUGCAAUCGAAGUGCGGCUAACAGUUCAAUUAUGACAUCAAAUACUACCGCGUUCGUUUUUAAUACGUAAUGUUGGUGAAAGUACACGAGAAAUAAGUGUGAUAGAUUAUGUUGUACGUUCCGGAUAAAAAAAAUAUGUGUAGUUACGGAUGGAACUGCCUUAUGGAAAUCCCUACCUGCUACCUGCGGAGUAUUAAAAGCUGCCCAGUGGACUACGCGAAAUGGAUCCAAAUUGGUGAGGUCAAACCAUUUUUCCUAACACUAGUUGUCUCAACAUACAUUGUACUGCUCACGGUGUCUGUUUUUACAUGCAGUACCGUGGGGAGAUUUUCUCCAAAGUUUAGAUAUUUCUUAGUUUUGUAGGUAAUUUUUCUAUUUUUUUUCUGUUGCGCGAAUGAAUGAAUUCUGAAAGAAUAAAUGUUAACAUACUUUUCAGAAGUGUCGAAAACAGUUAUUUAACGUUACACAAGUGAACUUUUGCAAAGUGCCGCGAUAGUGAACCUAUUCUUGUUGUUUUUUAAUAUGCUUAGGUUACGCGAGCUGAGACUUUAUGGAUAGCAUAGCAUUCAAACACAAAUUUUGAUCUGGCUGUUUCCAGAAAGAAAUAUUUGAUCUUGGAGGACCAAUAUUUGAUGUAAUUUGCUCUGUUUUUGCGUUCUGUUUUAUUGUUUACUACUUAUAAACGUUUUAUUUAAGGAGGAUUCAGGUAAAUCUACCUUUUCAUAUAGGAGGGUUCAGGUAAAUCUAAUUUUUCUUUUCUAUUUCAGAUUUGAAAUCGUACACCCAACCAGUGUUGGUAAACUCACACUCAAAGCACACUCAUGAACCGCUCCUGCGUGAGCAAACUCGCGCGCGAUUCUGAAUCGUUUUCUCACGCGCGAGAAUUUCAUGCAAAAUCUCGCUCUCACGAGUCAAGCGCCGAAAUCUCGUUCGCUUGUAAAACGAACCCAAAUCAAUUUGAACGGCAUUCAAUGUUGUUGUACGCUAGAUUUGCUUUUGUUCUAUCAUACAAUCCUAAAAACUUCGAUUUAAACACUAAGAACACCAAGAAAUAAAGCAAUGAGUGAAAUUAUGAGUCAACUCAUGCAUGAUUUUUUCGGCGGUGAUUUUGGCGAGUCAAGAAUCGCGCGUGAAACAACUCAACAAUGAGGUUUGAGAAUUUGAGUUUUGACCAACACUGCACUCAACAAAGAAUCGGGAAAGGAACCAGGCAUCAACCAAAAAUAUUGCGUGCUGCUGAACGUUGACCAAACGUUUUCUUUGAACUUUACCCUUCCACUAACAUCCAAAUUCCCGUGACGCCUAGGCCUGAAAGAAUGUAGAGGUCUCUAUGUACUUUCAUAGGUGUCCAACUAAUCUUCCUUUCCCAUCCCUCAGCUGUCGCAAGGACGUGGCCAGGGCAGCACUCGACCGUUGGAGGAUUGUGUCAAUCUUGUCUAAGAGUCAGAGAUUAGUCCCAAAUCUUUGUGCUUUGGUAACGGACAGGAAGGAUGCAACCCUCAUAACAGCGAUCCAGGGCUGUACCACCUACGAAUUUGUGCGACUUGCUUAAUGCUAAUGCUAAUGCUAAUGCUAAUGCUAAUGCUAAUGCAAUCGUUUUAUGAGUUUCCAUUUCACGUAGUCUCUAAUGUUUAUCCAAUCUAGUACUACAUCGAAUAAUGCAUCAACUCUUAUACAUUUUAGCGCCCUUUCAUACCAACUUUAUGCACUAGUUCCAAUCGCAACCACUUCUUGCAUCGCCUGAUUUUAGCCGUGAAACAUCCCGUCAAAGCGAUUGCUACUUAGUUGUGGAUAACGGAAUAACAACAUGCAGUACUGGAAGCGCAAUCAGUACUACAAAUGCAAGCUUAGUUGUGACCGACGAAAUCAAUCCAUCACCAUGAGAAGUCAUCGAGCAUCGUCGGAGGCAGUAGUAGUAGUAGUCGUAAUUAACUGGCCCACGGUACCACGACAGGUGAAAUUCCUUAACAAUACCUUCCUCAGAAGAAGCAGCAGACCAUUGGCUGUCACAGGAUUCCUCGAACAAUCUGUACAGUCUAGAUCAUGAUCAAACAAGAGAUAAUAAAACUGUUGUUUUGAGCUAUUAUUGUUCGUUAAGUUUUGUAAUACAUGAUUACUUUAGUACUUAACAGUAAUUCCUUCAAAACAUGACGUUUUAUCAUUUUCCACAGAAUCCUUCGCCAGGAGGGAGAUUUAUGAACGGUUUAUGCUUCCGAAAGCCGGAAUGGAAGUGGCCCGGUUCGGGAUCAGCCAACGAGGAGCGAAGAAACUGAUCUGCCAUGGAUACGAAUACGUCAAGGACCGAGACUUUCCGGAUUCGACCAAUUGGCGUUGUGCUUUGUUCCGCCGGCAGAAGUGCCGCGCCCGUGCCAUUACCAAAAUCAUUGACGGUAUCACCUACGUAAGGCUUACGAACGAUGCCCACAGCCACGAUGUCCGGAUGUACCGGAGGCAUCCAGUGAUUAUUACGAAAGCGGACGAAAUGGAGUCUGCAUAAGAAAUAAAGUAGUUUCUUUGUUGAAUUAUUGUGAGAAAAAUAUACGUAUAUCAGAAUGGGUUCAUUGUCCUGUUUAAACUAUGUUUCCUUUAGUGGUUCCAAUGACGUACUAGAUUACUAUCGCACUAAUACGAACUAUUCGCAUUUUUAGGUGUUUUCGAACCGGCUGUAUUCGGAACUACUCGUCGUGGUCAACAGAAACUAAUACACAAUGGGCAUGCGUACACCAAGGAUCGACAGUCGGCGAAGACUUGCAACUGGAAAUGUUCCCUCUUUACGCGGUACAAGUGUAAGGCUCGUGCCGUUACGAGGGACAUCAAUGGCGUGGUGUACGUGAAAGUCACCAACACGUUACACUAUCACCCGGUGGAGCAGUACAAGAUCAACUACCGAAGGCUGGCCGUCAACCCAAUGAGUUUGGCGAACACUUUUAUCCCGCAUGUCAAGGAUGAGUCUUUUUGAGAUGUGCAAGUAUCGGUUAUAAGUGAGAGUAGGGUUUCUCGUCGCAAAUAAAUUAUGUGUGUUAGUGUUAUUCUAGUACUUCAGUAGAUAUAUUCACCCUGGUGAAACACUCUGUAAGAUUACCUCCGAUGACCAAUUAUAAUUUACUAGGAGUAGAAAUGAUUCUACUGUAGUUCUAGUACGUCAUUGUCAUACACUAAACUAUUCUGUGCUUUUAGAUGACAAAGCUGUUUUCACCGAGCGAGCCCUGUACGAGUAUACUUCCCGAGGAACGCAGCGCUUGCUUCAUGGCGGAUAUUACUUCAGCAAAAACAAAACCAACGAAUCGAGCGGACGGGUGAACUGGAAGUGCCAAUUUUACCAACGGCUGCGCUGCAAAGCAAGGGCCAUCACGAAAAACAUCAACGGAUACGACUACGUGCGCGUCACCCACGAAGAGCACACCCAUCGCAAGGAUCUUACCGAGGAUGAGUUCCGUCAUCCCAAACGGAAAAGAGAGUUUGGAAGUUUGAGAAAGUAACUGCGACACAAUCAUUUGUUGUAGAAGUACAUGCCAAUGAGUUUUAAUAAAAACUUAUUUAUUUUUCAUUUUAUGAAAUUACGAUUAGUAAUUCUAGUACCUCGUUUUUAGUAAUAGCCUAAUAGUUUAGAACGACCUCAUCAAAUUAUUAUUUUCUUGUUCACUGUGGAGUAACUUGAGCUAUUACCAAUUUGAACUUAUUUUCAGGCUGUUUCAGCUUGAAAAAAAAAGAAAUGCAUCGAAGCGAUUGUGUAAAUCUAGUACUCCAAUAGAAAAAAAAAACCUUAUAACGGCCGAAAGAACCCAUUUGCUAAAAAGAAGAUGACAUUCUAAGCCAUAUUUUAUCAUAUUUACAUAGCUCUAACCUAUUCAUAUUUUUCCAUCCAACCUAUCCCAAACAGUUAAACUGAAAAUUGUUCAAUAUUCAACACGCAAAUCGGACGAGCACUACGACGAUGAUGGUGAAGACGGCGAUGAGGAUGAUGAAGCAAAGACCCAGUUCCCAUUGGACCUGAAGAUGGUGGUAGGCCGCAAGGGACGCCCAAUGCUGCUGAUGGGUGGCCACGCUUUUUUCCGCAACAACACCCACAAGAGCAAAACCUACUGGCUGUGUGCCAAGAGCCGUUCGCUGAAGUGUCGCGCCCGAAUCAUCACCCUGGACGGCAGCGCCGGACUGAUCCUCAAGAAUCAGAUUCAUAAUCAUCCAGCGGCGCUGGAAAAGUCCUAGGCGAGGAUAAGAGUUAUCGAGUUCGUGCUGUGACAUAACGUCACGGUACUUGAACAAAAUUUUGGUUUUCUCUACAUAAUACGUUGUGUAGGCCAGUGUUGGGAAUACUCACUUGUAAGAGUGAUAAUCACUUGCUUCUAUCUCAGUCCAGAAGCAUACUUUCAAAAAAUAAUGUUUGAAGGGCUUUUAGAUUGUAGUUUAAUCUAAAAGUUUGCCGAAUAAAGUAAAGGUCGCAGACGCAUACCAAAAUUGUGAGAGAGCUGUGAGUACGAGGUGAGUAAAAUUCGUGUAAUUUAUACUCACCUUGUGCUCACAGCUCUCUCACGAUUUUGGUAUGCGUCUAUGAGCUUUACUUUAUUCGGUAAACUUUUAGAUUAAACUACAAUCUAAAAGCCCUUCAAACAUCAUUUUUUGAUAGCAUGUUUCUAGAAUCAGAUAGAACCAAGUAAGUAUAACUUUUCGCAUGUGAGUAUUCGCAACACUGGUGUAGCCAUUAUUUUCAGCAAUUUAUCGUAUUGUAAUUUGAAUUCUGUGCAAAUAAAAUGCCCGAAAUUGAGUUGAUCUAGUACUUCAAUUACUGAAUGGGCAAUGAAAGGUAAAUAACUUGCAAAGCUUCUGUUUGGGAUUUCCUUUUCUUUUGAAAUAAAGGUUCUGUUUUUGAUUGCACCAAUCGUGUUUUAGUUUAUCUCACUCUAGUACUGCUAGAAAAUCUACUAACAUGCUACAUUCUUUUUUCAGUAUCUACAGUUAUCGAUUACGUUACGGAGGAAAAGGUCCAAAAUGGAAAACCGAUCAAGCCGACUCGCUCCAAGCGGACCAAACCCAAGCACAACGUAAAGGAAAUUAUAAACAGUACCCAAGGACUCCCCGUGGUGUACCAGAACACACGUUUUGGAGCGGCUCAGGUACUCUUGGAGGACAUGGCAUACUCGUUCACCUACACGAAGAACCAAAUAAGCCACUACAGAUGCAGCCGAUACAGGAGCCAACAGUGCCCGGCCGAGGUAGUUGUCAACAACAAGCUGGUCUACUAUCUCUGUGCUGCCCAUAAUCACGAUUUGGCUACCGGUCAGCAAUUGGAUGGUAUCUGUAGGUCGUAUCUAGCUAGAGAUGCGACGUAAGUUUUGAUUGGAUGUGGUUGCAAUGUACAAGAAUGGAUAGAAUUAUGCACAGCAUUCCUAGAUGUCCAGUAAAGUAUGCAUUGACCUGAUUCUUUCGGGGGUGGAUGUGGUUGUAAUGUACUGUAAUGGAGAAAAGUAUGUACAGCAUUCCUAGAUGACCAGUAAAGUAUGCGUUGACCUGAUUCUGUCGGGGCCGGAGAAGGGAUCCAUCUAGGGAUGGUUGGCUAUGUCUCGUAGAAUCGCCUAAUUAUGUCCAAAUUCAUGUCAUACUUCUUAAAUAAUUUCAUUGGCAUUUCUAUAUUAGAUUGCAAUACUUACAGAAUUCAUUACAUGAUUAUUUACAUAGCUAUGUGAAGUACUAGAUUAAGGAAGAAUACAAAAUCAAAUACAAUAUUCCUACACUAUCAAGAAAGUUUUGUUUAUGAUUUAGUUAAACAGUAUUGAAUUGACAAUUCAUCAGCGAGAACUGUCACUCUAACGCAACAAUCUUUCCAGAGGACCGUGAAAUCACCUUCAUUGUGGGAAGACUCGGCAACAUGCAGUUGAUCAUCGACGGCCACCUGUACACCCGGUCUCAAAUCAGGGAACGCAUCAUCAUUUGGCACUGCUCUCGGCAAAGAUCUGGAUGCAAAAGUCGGAUCAGCACCCUGCGAGGCGAACCGGGGACGGCCUACUCCUUUCGUGAGGACCACAAUCACGAGAGCAAAUUUGACUUCAAAAAUAGGGACAUUAAGGUUUUCAAGGUGGCCAAACUGUUGAUUGUUGGCAAAAACCGUUAGAUUGCGUUGUUUUUAAUUUCAGGCUGAACAAUAAAAUAGAAAUUAGUUUUUCGUAACUUUACCCAAGCAACACACAUGUUGUAUAACAGUUACGGCAGCGCAUGUUUUGGUUGUAUAGAAGUUUAUUUUACGUAAUUCUAACACAAUGUUGAAAUAACGUCGAAUUAACUUCUAUACAACCAAAACUUGCACUGUCGUAACUCUUAUAUAACAUGUGUGUUGCUUGGGUAGUCUUGAUUCUGUUGAACACAAUUCAUCGUUUAAAUGAAAAUUAUUCGAAAGGCUUGGAAAAAAAGUCAAACAAUAUUGAUGAAAAAUUAGAAAUUUCACUAACUAUUGCCAUUAUGAAUGUACAUUUCAGACAAUAAAUCUGAUGAUAGUAAUAUCUACGUCGUGUGCACUGCCGAAGGGGAGUACAAGAUUCAGGAGAAACCUGCAGCUAAAGCUAGACAAACAAAAGAGACCAAAGCUCCAUUCAAGGCUUCGUCACCGAUGCGGGUUGUUUGCAUCCUGGGCGGAUUCACAUUUCCAAUCUCAGAUGGCGAUGAAGUGGAACGAUUGGAAAAAACCAUUUCGGAACGGGCCGACAUUCGCGAGGAAUAUGUGAAAUUGUUGAAGCGCAAAUCGAAACAUAUCAAACUAUUCCAAUUUAUGCCGUCAGUUUUCUCGGAUGAAGCUCUGGAAGGAUAUAACUUCAAUGGAGCAAACGUGCUUGGUAGGCGCAAGAUCGCCAUGAAAGGUUACAAUAUUUUCAGCACUUGUUUCAUGGAUGCUUACGAAUCAGAAGGGCUAACCAUGGAAGAACUAGCCAACCAGAUAACCACGGCCAUCAAGCAGACUCGUAACAGAAUGCGUCAGCGUACCUUCCGGGUGAAGAGAUCUAUCGAGAAGAUGUUGAAGGAAAAAUCGGAACACUAGCUGGUUGUGUUCGUUCUAGAGUAAACUGGAAAUUUCACCGAUAACCCAUUGGGACUCUUGUAGAAAAUAAAUAAUGUACUAGAUUAAAUUCAUACCUGGCCGAUUAUGUAUUUUGUACUUAUUUGAUUCUAGCGAAUCAACUUAAUAAUUUUCAUGUAAACAAUAUAAAAGUAUCUUGAUUUUGAUAUUGAUUUCGAUGCUAUUACAAAAAUAUUAUUUAUUUAAAAUAAAUAAAUAAGUUAAAAAUAUAACUCAUCUGAAGCAGAAAAAACAACUAAUUUGCAAAUAAUAUCUGUAUACAGUUGCUGAACACUGUAAGACGGCAUCGCUUCAUUUAUCAAUCUAGUACCUCAUUCAUGCGAUAU
Long non-coding RNA from Aedes albopictus (Asian tiger mosquito), 9123 nucleotides. RefSeq lists it as uncharacterized. The record is from RefSeq and is a predicted model, not a curated record. The transcript is spliced from 5 exons. Lineage: Eukaryota; Metazoa; Arthropoda; Insecta; Diptera; Culicidae.